ACGUUGGAACUGAAAGUGUUUUGAUUGUCUGUAUCUAUAAUGGUGGGGAAGUAUUUACUUGUCUGAACUGAUAACGUUGGGAAAGUGUUUGCUUGUCUGUAUCUAUAAUGGUGGGGAAGUAUUUACUUGUCUGAACUGAUAACGAUGGGAAAGUGUUUGCUUGUCUGUAUCUAUAAUGGUAAGGAAGUCAUUCUCAGAUUUUUCUGUUUUUGAUCUUUUUUCAUGUUGCUUGGGUCCCAGUGUCUUUCAUGUCACCAACUGAUGGAUGUAGUUAGGGAUACAUCACAUCUCAGGCCCUAGGUCAGGUGUGUGACCAACUAGAGUUAGGGGUAUGACCUAUUGAAGUUGUCACUACACAGGUCCUAGGGUCAGGUGUGUGACCAACUAGAGUUAGGGUAUGACCUACUUGAGUUGUCACUACACAGGUCCUAGUGUCAGAUGCAUGACCAACUAGAGUUAGGGUAUGACCUACUUGAGUUGUCACUACACGGGUCCUAGGUCAGGUGUGUGACCAACUAGAGUUAGGGGUAUGACCUACUUGAGUUGUCACUACACAGGUCCUAGGGUCAGGUGUGUGACCAACUAGAGUUAGGGUAUGGCCUACUUGAGUUGUCACUACACGGGUCCUAGGGUCAGGUGUAUUACCAACUGGAGUUAGGGUAUGGCCUACUUGAGUUGUCACUACACAGGUCCUAGGGUCAGGUGUGUGACCAACUAGAGUUAGGGUAUGACCUACUUGAGUUGUCACUACACAGGUCCUAGGUCAGGUGUAUGACCUUUAGGGGUAGUCACAUUUCAGUUCCUAGGUCAGGAGUAUGAUCUUUAGGGGUAGUCACAUUUUAGAUCCUAGGUCAAGUGUAUGACCUUUAGGGGCAGUCACAUUUCAGGUCUUAGUGUCUGGUUUAUGACCUACAGAAGUAGUACUGACUGACUGAAGGGGAUGUUGUACUGAGAUAUGUAGUUUCUGUUGGUACUAUGGACAAUGAGCACAGUUUACAGAAAUGUAUCAAACAUUCGUUAUUUGUUUCAUUUAAAUGAUGUCAUAUGUUUCUGGUGAAACCUCAUCCUUGUAUCUGUGAUGUAUCCGUGUAUAUUAAGGUUCUUAUUUUCUUUAUCUUGUGGGUAAACAUUUAUUGUAUGCCAGUGACACCUCCUACUGAGCAAGUGAAUGCCCUAAUGCAGUGUUUCUGUGUGGGAGUCUGGCCUCUGAAUGAACUGUGUAUUGGAGCUGUGUUCUGUACAGUGUACAGCACUGGAGCAUCAGGUUUCAGUCACAUCCUUUCACUGAUGCCUUUCAGGUCACCUCUGUCUGUCUCAAAAGUUCUCAGAAAAAUAAACUUUACAGAUUUUGUAUCUUACUUCAGUACAGUCCCUUCAGCUGAUCCUGCUAUGUGGCGGUACUGUUUGUUUGACAACUGGUAGACAGAUUUCAGACUGAUCUGAGCAGGAUUAAUUGUUUGUUGUUUCAAAAUGCUUCUAGUCUCAUCUUGUAUUAUAUUUAAAGUGCAUUAUUCAGAAAGGAGGUGUGUCUUGGAUGACUGAAGGUUAAUGCUGUUUAUAAUGGAUGAUUGUAAUGAAUUUGAGAAAUGUACAUUAGUGUUCUAUGGUCUUUUUAUAAGUAUUUGCAGGUUGUACAGUAGAGGAGUGCAUUUGUAUUGAAAGAAUCCUUUAUGCAGAAUUUAUGCACCAAAGUUUAUGUACAGGUUCUUGAUUAAAAUGGAGUAGGUCUGUGUUCCUGAGACAAAUCAUGCAAUGUUGCCUCAUCCUGAGGAUGUACCCUGAAGGUUGUCUCCACACCAGAAUGACCCCUUAUGUUCUAUCAUUCUAGGCUGUAUCUAUGGCUGUGUCUCCACACCAGAAUGACCCCUUAUGUUCUAUCAUU
This is a long non-coding RNA of Haliotis rubra (blacklip abalone), 1882 nucleotides long. RefSeq lists it as uncharacterized. NCBI's taxonomy places the organism in Eukaryota, Metazoa, Mollusca, Gastropoda, Lepetellida, Haliotidae. The transcript is spliced from 4 exons. The record is from RefSeq and is a predicted model, not a curated record.